This 249-nucleotide long non-coding RNA is filed under the name Brassica rapa (field mustard). RNAcentral's name for it is "long non-coding RNA (BRAP_LNC003526)". Lineage: Eukaryota; Viridiplantae; Streptophyta; Magnoliopsida; Brassicales; Brassicaceae. The record is from RNAcentral.
UGGCCGUCGGAAUUUCCUCGGAAUAUUUUCAUUUAACCGGGCAAACAAGCCGCCAAAUAUUUCGCGAAAAUUGAAAUUGAAAAUACUGAGGGAAUUCCGACGGAAAAUAUCCGUCGGACCCUAGGUUUUAUAAACUCGAAACGCAUCUUCUUCCCCAUUUCUCUCUUCUUCCUCUCCGGCGAUCUCUCUCUCCUUCCGGCGUUCUCCACCUUCUCUCGCGACGAUCUCUCCGGCGAAUCCUCUCCAUUC